This 497-nucleotide ribosomal RNA is filed under the name uncultured bacterium. RNAcentral's name for it is "partial 16S ribosomal RNA". It matches the Rfam family "Bacterial small subunit ribosomal RNA", at positions 28 to 507 of the family's 1533-position model. The record is from RNAcentral.
GAUGAACGCUGGGGGCGUGCCUAAUACAUGCCAGUCGAGCGAACAGAUGAGGAGCUUGCUCCUCUGACGUUAGCGGCGGACGGGUGAGUAACACGUGGAUAACCUACCUAUAAGACUGGGAUAACUUCGGGAAACCGGAGCUAAUACCGGAUAAUAUAUUGAACCGCAUGGUUCAAUAGUGAAAGACGGUUUUGCUGUCACUUAUAGAUGGAUCCGCGCCGCAUUAGCUAGUUGGUAAGGUAACGGCUUACCAAGGCAACGAUGCGUAGCCGACCUGAGAGGGUGAUCGGCCACACUGGAACUGAGACACGGUCCAGACUCCUACGGGAGGCAGCAGUAGGGAAUCUUCCGCAAUGGGCGAAAGCCUGACGGAGCAACGCCGCGUGAGUGAUGAAGGUCUUCGGAUCGUAAAACUCUGUUAUUAGGGAAGAACAAAUGUGUAAGUAACUAUGCACGUCUUGACGGUACCUAAUCAGAAAGCCACGGCUAACUACGUG